This 492-nucleotide ribosomal RNA is filed under the name uncultured bacterium. Its description in RNAcentral is "partial 16S ribosomal RNA". It matches the Rfam family "Bacterial small subunit ribosomal RNA", at positions 29 to 507 of the family's 1533-position model. The record is from RNAcentral.
AGUGAACGCUGGCGGUAGGCCUACCACAUGCAAGUCGAACGGCAGCACAGUAAGAGCUUGCUCUUACGGGUGGCGAGUGGCGGACGGGUGAGGAAUACAUCGGAAUCUACUUUUUCGUGGGGGAUAACGUAGGGAAACUUACGCUAAUACCGCAUACGACCUACGGGUGAAAGCAGGGGAUCUUCGGACCUUGCGCGAUUGAAUGAGCCGAUGUCGGAUUAGCUAGUUGGCGGGGUAAAGGCCCACCAAGGCGACGAUCCGUAGCUGGUCUGAGAGGAUGAGCAGCCACACUGGAACUGAGACACGGUCCAGACUCCUACGGGAGGCAGCAGUGGGGAAUAUUGGACAAUGGGCGCAAGCCUGAUCCAGCCAUACCGCGUGGGUGAAGAAGGCCUUCGGGUUGUAAAGCCCUUUUGUUGGGAAAGAAAAGCAGCAGGUUAAUACCCCGCUGUUCUGACGGUACCCAAAGAAUAAGCACCGGCUAACUUCGUG